This 301-nucleotide ribosomal RNA is filed under the name uncultured bacterium. RNAcentral's name for it is "partial 16S ribosomal RNA". It matches the Rfam family "Bacterial small subunit ribosomal RNA", at positions 509 to 807 of the family's 1533-position model. The record is from RNAcentral.
CAGCAGCCGCGGUAACACGAAGGGGGCUAGCGUUGUUCGGAAUUACUGGGCGUAAAGGGCGCGUAGGCGGCCAUUCAAGUUAGAUGUGAAAGCCCUGGGCUCAACCUAGGAAUUGCAUUUGAUACUGUUUGGCUUGAGUUCGGGAGAGGUGAGUGGAAUUCCCAGUGUAGAGGUGAAAUUCGUAGAUAUUGGGAAGAACACCAGUGGCGAAGGCGGCUCACUGGACAUUUACUGACGCUGAUGCACGAAAGCUAGGGGAGCAAACAGGAUUAGAUACCCCCGUAGUCCCUGUCUCUUAUAC